Eucalyptus grandis is the source of this 857-nucleotide long non-coding RNA. RefSeq lists it as uncharacterized. NCBI's taxonomy places the organism in Eukaryota, Viridiplantae, Streptophyta, Magnoliopsida, Myrtales, Myrtaceae. The transcript is spliced from 2 exons. The record is from RefSeq and is a predicted model, not a curated record.
CUCUUCUCUCUCUCUCUCUCUUUCUCUCUCUCUUAUCCUUCGAAAACUCUCCCUCUCGCCUUCGCUCCCAUUCCACUGCAUUCUCCGGCGCAUCGCUGCCGCCUCCGCCUCCGCCGUCGCCUUCACCUCCGGGAGCCCCGUCGGCGGCUGGAAUAUGGCAGCACGAAGUUUCGCACCGGAACUUGCACCGACCGAUGAUAAAAACCCCACAUUUCAAGAGAAGUUUGUGUUCUUGAAGGGCUUAGGGAAUUAAAUCUUGUGGGGCGGAAUGGCAAUAUCCUCACUUUCGAGGAGUUCAUUGGCACUGGGAACCAGAUCUGGAGGGAGGAGCGGGUGAAGUCGCUUUGUGUGGACAACCAGAUCUGGAGGGACCUUGCCUAGGCCAACGAGGCCACCGUCAACGACCUCCAAACCAACCUCGAGCAGGUCCUGGCGCAGGUCAGCAAGGACGACCGCCCCCGCAAUGGGGCCUCCCUGGAGGACGAGGCGGAGCAAUUAUGGAGGAGGGGAGGAGGAAAGCGGGAGGCGGGAGGGAGUGGAGGCGCAGGAGGAUUGGGAAGGUGGAGUUGAGCGUGUUGUUGUUGCCGUGCAGGCACCUGUGUUUGUGCGCGGUGUGUGGGUCUUCCCUCCAUACUUGUCCGCUUUGUAACCCUCCCAAAUCCGGUAGUGUCCAUCUAUCCUAGACCAGUUUUUUUCUCUCUCUCUCUCUCUUUGAAAAACAGGGAAAAUAAGACGGAAGAAAUAUUUCCAAGAGUUAGCUAGAAAUCUCUCCGAUCAUGACCCUUUUUUUAAUUGGUUCUGGUUGGUCUUGUGAUAUGAUUAAUUCUUUGCCAAAUAUUUCUUGUCUCUUUCUAUUC